Molecule: ribosomal RNA, 807 nt
Filed under: uncultured Pelagibacteraceae bacterium
Lineage: Bacteria; Pseudomonadati; Pseudomonadota; Alphaproteobacteria; Candidatus Pelagibacterales; Candidatus Pelagibacteraceae
Description: bacterial SSU rRNA
Rfam family: Bacterial small subunit ribosomal RNA
Source: RNAcentral
CGCUGGCGGCACGCCUAAUACAUGCAAGUCGAACGAAGUAGCAAUACUUAGUGGCAGACGGGUGAGUAACAUGUGGGUAUCUUCCCUAUGGUGAGGAAUAACACGAGGAAACUUGUGCUAAUACCUCAUAAGUCUUUACGGAGAAAGCUUUAUGCGCCAUUGGAUGAGCCCGCACUUGAUUAGUUUGUUGGUGGGGUAAUGGCCUACCAAGACUUUGAUCAAUAGCUGAUUUGAGAGGAUGAUCAGCCACAUUGGGACUGAGACACGGCCCAAACUCCUACGGGAGGCAGCAGUAGGGAAUCUUGCACAAUGGAGGAAACUCUGAUGCAGCGAUGCCGCGUGAGUGAAGAAGGCCUUUGGGUUGUAAAGCUCUUUCGUCGGGGAAGAAAAUGACUGUACCCGAAUAAGAAGGUCCGGCUAACUUCGUGCCAGCAGCCGCGGUAAUACGAAGGGACCUAGCGUAGUUCGGAAUUACUGGGCUUAAAGAGUUCGUAGGUGGUUAAAAAAGUUGGUGGUGAAAUCCCAGAGCUUAACUCUGGAACUGCCAUCAAAACUUUUUAGCUAGAGUAUGAUAGAGGAAAGCAGAAUUUCUAGUGUAGAGGUGAAAUUCGUAGAUAUUAGAAAGAAUACCGAUUGCGAAGGCAGCUUUCUGGAUCAUUACUGACACUGAGGAACGAAAGCAUGGGUAGCGAAGAGGAUUAGAUACCCUCGUAGUCCAUGCCGUAAACGAUGUGUGUUAGACGUUGGAAAUUUAUUUUCAGUGUCGCAGCGAAAGCAAUAAACACACCGCCUGGGGAGUACGACCGC